UUCAGCAACAUGUACAAUACAAUGUAUAUUUCAUUUUAAAAUCACAAAACAAAAACAAACAAACAAGUAGAGGAUUAUCAUUUUAGUAAUUAUUGUGUUUCCAAAAACAUGUGUUAAAACAAAUGGAUACAGGACAAACUGGGAUGCAUGAAACAGGACCAAACGGAGACACCACACUUGAUAUAUUGUCUCCAAUCACCAUCAUGGUCGUUUUCGUUUCCCCAAUACAAACAGUAUGUCCAUGGAUUUUUAAUAAAUAGAUUUUUCUCAGGAUCUGAAUGAUUAUAGAUAGUAAUUCACUAGCAAUUAUGCAAUCAGUUAAAAGACAAAAUAGACUGGUAUAGCAGCAUUUUAUACCAUGUUGAAAGUAAAAGGAUAAUUCCAGAAUCUUUUCAGUUAAGAAUGGACUGCAAGCGAUAACUACCAAUACUUUGCAUUAAUUUUGCUUAUCUAUUUGUGUUUUAAUCCGAUCGUCCUCAAUAUUUUUUUGUAACCAUCUGUACGGCAACCAUCAAGGCAACCAUCAAAGCAACAGACGGUGCAUCUGAAUCAGUACUGCUUAGCGUCCAUACAAGAUAUUCACAAAGCUGAUUUGGAAUAGAACUUUCUGCACCUCCCCUUUCAGUGUUAUAAAAUGCCGAGACAAACAGACGACUUCGAUUACGAGAAGCUUAUAGGACUUGUCCGUGAGAGGGAGAUGUUAUAUAAUCCUGCACACCACAUGUACAAAGACGUACAGAUGCAUAAAAAUAUAUGGAUGUCCAUUGGCAACGUCAUGAAAAUAUCAGCCUUUGCUUCCAGCUUGAAAUCUCAAAUAUUGCUCCAAUUUUACGAAGUUAAUUUUGAGCGUUGGUCCAUGCUGACUGAAGCACCUAUGAGUUAUCCGUCAUCAUCUUGACUGG
Molecule: long non-coding RNA, 902 nt
Organism: Gigantopelta aegis
Lineage: Eukaryota; Metazoa; Mollusca; Gastropoda; Neomphalida; Peltospiridae
Exons: 3
Source: RefSeq, a predicted model, not a curated record